RNAcentral lists this ribosomal RNA (508 nucleotides) under Vreelandella aquamarina. RNAcentral's name for it is "bacterial SSU rRNA". It matches the Rfam family "Bacterial small subunit ribosomal RNA", at positions 78 to 586 of the family's 1533-position model. The record is from RNAcentral. Lineage: Bacteria; Pseudomonadati; Pseudomonadota; Gammaproteobacteria; Oceanospirillales; Halomonadaceae.
GCUUGCUGGAUGCUGACGAGCGGCGGACGGGUGAGUAAUGCAUAGGAAUCUGCCCGAUAGUGGGGGAUAACCUGGGGAAACCCAGGCUAAUACCGCAUACGUCCUACGGGAGAAAGGGGGCUCCGGCUCCCGCUAUGGGAUGAGCCUAUGUCGGAUUAGCUAGUUGGUGAGGUAACGGCUCACCAAGGCCACGAUCCGUAGCUGGUCUGAGAGGAUGAUCAGCCAGGUCGGGACUGAGACACGGCCCGAACUCCUACGGGAGGCAGCAGUGGGGAAUAUUGGACAAUGGGGGAAAGCCUGAUCCAGCCAUGCCGCGUGUGUGAAGAAGGCCCUCGGGUUGUAAAGCACUUUCAGCGAGGAAGAACGCCUAGCGGUUAAUACCCGCUAGGAAAGACAUCACUCGCAGAAGAAGCACCGGCUAACUCCGUGCCAGCAGCCGCGGUAAUACGGAGGGUGCAAGCGUUAAUCGGAAUUACUGGGCGUAAAGCGCGCGUAGGUGGCUUGAUAA